RNAcentral lists this unclassified non-coding RNA (274 nucleotides) under Glomeraceae sp. RNAcentral describes it as "partial contains 5.8S ribosomal RNA and internal transcribed spacer 2". The stretch from base 1 to 65 matches the Rfam family "5.8S ribosomal RNA", at positions 84 to 154 of the family's 154-position model. Lineage: Eukaryota; Fungi; Glomeromycota; Glomeromycetes; Glomerales; Glomeraceae. The record is from RNAcentral.
GUGACUCAUCAAAUCUUUGAACGCAAAUUGCACUCUCUUCGGAGAGUAUGCCUGUUUGAGGGUCAGCCUAUAAAAAAUCGACAUCGUUGCUGUUUCUCGGUGACGUUAGUCGGAAAUUGGGUUAUCUUAAAUCCUUUUGGUUUUAAGAGACUUAAAAUUUUCUUCUUGGUUUCAUGAACGUUUCUAAGAAUUAUUUCUUUACACGUUUAAGGGUAUCGAUUUUUAUUAGACGUGACCAUCAUAUGGGAUCGAGUGCAUAAUCUUUCAUUAAUUG